CCCGCCCCCGGCUCGCCGGGCUCCACCCCCGGCGGCUGGGUAGCCGGAUGUCGCGGCGCGAUUCAGCGCCUUGGCGCACAACCCAACUCACAGGAGGACAGUGGACAGGUCCAUUCCCCUGCCUAAGGUUGUAUCUAAGGAUUUUUAAAUCAAAGUUCUACAACCACAUACACUGGCCCAAACUCUCAGCAUCUGAAUCCUGCUUCCUGCUUGUUGGAAUAAAGGACCUGUUUCCAACUACAGAAGCUGAAGGGGCCACAUCCUCCUUCUCCCUGUCCCUGACAGCUGAGGCUCCUCAAGAGUGGCUGCACCAACUUAAAUCCCCGUGAUGGUGAUUACUUCUUAGAUGUGCCCAUGGGCUUCUCGGGUGAUACUGGUGAGGACCUCAGCACUAAGCAGUCUGACUGAAUGUCUACAGCCUCGCCAGGCAACAAUUUCAACAGAAAAACUGAAGACUGCAGGUGCUUCAUAGGGCUGCCAAACUUCUGUGUGCCUGUGCCUGUCUCUGCUUCUGGCUGCAGCAUCUUGAAGCCUCGGCCCACCUGUGCUCUGAAGCUGAGGAGCCAUCCAAAGCCUGGAGCGGCUAUCUUGGGUACUCAUCUUUCUGGUUGGGGUGACACUCUGCCCUUGGAAGCACUUGAGUUCAGGUUCACCACGCAAGCACAGCAGAGUGAGAACACGACGGCACAACACUGGGAGAACACUCAGAGCUUUUGCAUUUGCUGUUCCUCUGCCUGGAAAACCCUUCUACCAAGUCUUCUCAUUGCUGGCCCCAUCUUACUAUUCAGACUUCGGCUGCAAUAUUGCUCCCCUUAG
RNAcentral lists this long non-coding RNA (816 nucleotides) under Capra hircus (goat). RNAcentral's name for it is "lncRNA (ENSCHIG00000001239.1)". Lineage: Eukaryota; Metazoa; Chordata; Mammalia; Artiodactyla; Bovidae. The record is from RNAcentral.